Molecule: ribosomal RNA, 819 nt
Filed under: uncultured eukaryote
Lineage: Eukaryota
Description: SSU rRNA
Rfam family: Eukaryotic small subunit ribosomal RNA
Source: RNAcentral
CGGUGUUUAACUGGCGUGAUGUGGGACGUCCUACCGGUGGGCUUAGCCUCGCGAGGGGCGGCCCAACUAAUAUCCCGUCGCGGUGCUCUUUACUGAGUGUCGAGUCGGGCCGGUACGUUUACUUUGAACAAAUUAGAGUGCUUAAAGCAGGCUAUCCUCGCCUGAAUACUGCGUGCAUGGAAUAAUGGAAUAGGACCUCGGUUCUAUUUUGUUGGUUUUCGGAACCCCGAGGUAAUGAUUAAUAGGGACAGAUGGGGGCAUUCGUAUUGCGACGUUAGAGGUGAAAUUCUUGGAUCGUCGCAAGACGGACAGAAGCGAAAGCAUUUGCCAAAAAUGUUUUCAUUAAUCAAGAACGAAAGUUAGAGGUUCGAAGGCGAUCAGAUACCGCCCUAGUUCUAACCAUAAACGAUGCCAGCUAGCGAUCCGCCGAAGUUCCUCCGAUGACUCGGCGGGCAGCUUCCGAGAAACCAAAGCUUUUGGGUUCCGGGGGAAGUAUGGUUGCAAAGCUGAAACUUAAAGGAAUUGACGGAAGGGCACCACCAGGAGUGGAGCCUGCGGCUUAAUUUGACUCAACACGGGAAACCUCACCAGGCCCAGACACCGGAAGGAUUGACAGAUUGAUAGCUCUUUCUUGAUUCGGUGGGUGGUGGUGCAUGGCCGUUCUUAGUUGGUGGAGCGAUUUGUCUGGUUAAUUCCGAUAACGAACGAGACUCUAGCCUGCUAAAUAGGCGUACCUUAUGGUAUCGCGAAGGCCCCCGGCUUCGGCCGGUGGGUUUUUACUACCAACGUACAAACAAAUCUUCUUAGAGGGACAGGCGG